UUUUAUAAAUACUAUAUGGUAUGGACUUUGCUCAAUGGUGAAGACCGUUCGGUAACCUAAGUUACAAAGUUGCCAAUUUUGUGCUAUUUAGUCUCUUGUGAAGAGUUGUCCCAUUGGUAGUCAUACCACAUCUUCUUUUAUAUAAUGGUAGUAGAUUAUCACUUAUCAAGGUUAAUAGUUAUCAAAGGUACCAGGAUUAUAUUUUAAUACGCUAGACG
RNAcentral lists this long non-coding RNA (218 nucleotides) under Mytilus galloprovincialis (Mediterranean mussel). The record is from RNAcentral. Lineage: Eukaryota; Metazoa; Mollusca; Bivalvia; Mytilida; Mytilidae.